This 913-nucleotide long non-coding RNA is filed under the name Triticum aestivum (bread wheat). RNAcentral describes it as "long non-coding RNA (TAES_LNC011412)". Lineage: Eukaryota; Viridiplantae; Streptophyta; Magnoliopsida; Poales; Poaceae. The record is from RNAcentral.
UGGCAGCAGCUCGGGCCUGCUGAAGAAUGAAGACGCAACAACAGGGGGAGGGAGAUUGGAAUGCUUCAGGAUCCUGAAAUAUGAUGUUAAACCUGAGCAUUUAUCCAAACAAGGUUAAGGUCCUGAAAAGGUAUAUGCAUCAGCAUCACAUCUCUUUUGACACUAGAGUUUAGUAGUUUUGAAUACCACACAUAUUAAAUCUGAGUACAAAUUCUUGCUCCUUAAUCACUGGUUCAACUAAUGCUAUUUUUUCAUAAGGGACACAUUCUCGCUCCUUAAUCACUGGUUCAACUAAUGCUACAAAUCUGAGCGGUGCUGGUUUGUUUUGAUUGAUCCUUGCUUAUUUAUUUAUCGUAGGGAUUGGAUAGCCCACAUGGUUGGUUAGGAAGAUAAUUGAGGUUCUAUGCCUAAUGUGUUUAUGGUCCCGUUAAUCCAAAAGAUCUUAUGUUGGUUUAUCUGGUGUGAUGGUAUUGUUUUGUCCAGGGAAUUAAUUCUAUACGCUUUGUGAGAAAAUGUUCAAUCCACCUUACCUUUUUGUAUCUUUUUUACAGUUCUCAGUUACAUGGAAGUGGUUAUUUCCAGUCCUUUGUGGUUAUCAUUGGUGUUUCCUGGUUCAGAGCACCUCCAUGACGGCACCCAACAGUCUCGGAGCCAAGGUGAGAUCCCCCUUCUCCUCCUGCCCCUGAGACCCCUCCUAUGUUUCAUGGAUUGUAUAAUGUGAUUUUUGUAACUGAUGGUCUUUGUUUUAUAUAGGUGAUAAGAGCAGGGAUGGACUCAUUAGCAUCAGCCAUGUGAAGAUGAUUGGAAAGUCUACUGGAGUAAUCCUUCUUCAUGGUAUACGGUACUAAUAUUUAGCCUAAAAGCUUUGGAUAUAUUUAAGAAAAAAUAUAUGGUGUUUUAUUAUGCAUAAAGC